CAGUACAAGAAUAUAAGUCAUUAUAUGUACUAUUUGAUGGAAUCAAACCUGAAAUAUAUAUGACUUUUGAAGAAAUAAUAAAAGAAAAGCUAGACGCAAGGAAAAGGAAAGAGGAUAUUACGUGGAAGAAAUAUUUAGAUGUCAAUGAAGCCUUGAAUAGAGCAAGAAGUAUGAUAGGAGAAAAUUACUACAUAGAACCAAAAGCCAAAGAAUAUAUCCAAAAGUUCAAAGGAGUAGAUAAGGAUAUUCCUUCUUCGUCAAAUAUAAAGAAUAUAAAGGAAGAAAUAUUAAUUUUAAAAAAAGCAAAGGAAGAAGAAUCUCCUAAAUAUAGCACAUACAAAGACUGCUUAGUAAAAGGAGUGGAUCCUCUGGAUUAUGAAUAUAUAGACAUGAAGAUAAACGAAACAUUAGAAGACACUUCAAAGUUAUGGAAAGAAGAGUUAAAAGAAGAAAUUUAAAAAGAAUUACGACUUGAAUUUACGCAAAAAUUCGAAGAAAUAAAGAAAGAGUAUGACCUAAAAUAUGACCUGACUCUUUCAAAAUAUGAAUUCAAUCGUAGUUCAAUCGUAUUAAAUAACAAUAUAACGACACAAGUAAAUAAGGUUGGAAAUAGUAAGAACAAUAAUACGGUCCAGAGCAACAAAAAUAAAGAUGUAGAUGAAGAGGAGCAGUGGGACAUAAAUAAAAAGUUAUUAACAGAAAGUUAUGAAGAAGAAGAAGAAGAAUUAAUGAAAGAAUUGCUUCAAGAAGAUGAAAAUUUUGAUGGGUCCGAGGAAUAUAGUGAUUUUAUAAACUCCAUAGAUGAGGUGGGUUUACAUAAUUUAGAAAAUUCAAUGGAAGCUAUGGAAGUAGAAAUGACUAGUAAAAGAAGAAGAGCAUGUGGUGAUAGUUCAGUAAAGAGUGAAGGAGCAAGAGAGAGACCUACCAGGGCAGCUGGUAAAUGGCCCCCAAAAGAAGAUGACUUCCAACCAACUUAUAUUUCCGGACAAUACAAAUAUAUGGGAUCUAGGAGAAGAGAUUUUGAAAAGCCCGUACAAUUUCAAAAUUCUAGGAAUGAUGGGGCAAUAUUAAAUCUAGCAGCCCAUGACCCGGUAGAUUGGCCUAAUAUAAUUAGCAUAUGAAAAGGUUUAAUAGUUUAGAAAUAUAUACAAAAUCUGCAUAAUAUAGGUAAUAAGGUGGAAGAUAUGAUAACAUACCUUGAAACUUUUCUAGGAGAAUCUGCAAAGGUUUUAUGGGAACAAUGGGUAGAGCCAUAUCCUAAUCAAUAUGAAGAAUUAAAAAGGGCUGGAAGUAAUCCCCAUAAUUUUGCCAAUAUUAUAGCAUAAUCAUAGCAGAAGAUCCAGUUAUGGGACAUACCACAUUGCAGAAUGAGAGAUUGAAAGAAAUAGAAAAAUUAACGCUAACUAGUUGGAAAGGUAUAAAAGAAUUCUCUCAGCAUUAUUUAUACAAUGCUACCACUGCUAAGCAAUGAUAUAAUAAAGGGGUAGUUGAAAGAUACUUCAAUAAAUUACCUGAUCCUUUAGGAUCUAUAAUAUUUGAAGAGUAUAAGAAAGAAUCAAAUGGAAAUGUUGCAAAUAUAUCUCAGGCCAUAACAUUUGUAUUUAAACAACUACGAAAGGUAUGUACGAAUAUACAAACUCAAAGAUCUAUGAAAAAAUCAGACUACAAUUUCUGCAAUAAUAUUGUUCAAAUACCGCUAACAUAUGGAGAAAAUAGGCAUAGGAAUAAAAAAUAUUACAAACCACAGAGGAGAGAUAAUAGGAACUUUAGGACAAAGAAAAGAUAUUUCUUAAGAAGGUCUGAUAAUAGAGCUCCUUAUCUACAUAAGAGAAAUGUAAGAAGAUACGAUCCUAGAAAAUCUUAUGAUAAGACAUGUAGAUGUUUUAUAUGUAAUUCACCAGAUCAGAUCAUCUAAGUAAAACAUGUCCUAAUAAAGAUCAGAAAAGGUACUCUAGUAAAUAUGAAGAGCAAAAAAGAGUGUUAAUUAUAGAUAGCGUUAACGAGAAUAUCCUAGUAUGUGAUAAGAAAAUAAAAGAUGAUGAGUCGAUAUAUUCAAUCAUAGAAACAGAUGAAGUAGAAAAUGAGACUUUAGAAGAUGAAUCGAGCGAAGAUGAAUUAGACCUAAUAGACGAUUUAGCAGGAUUAAAAAUUGAAAUGAUGAAUCAAGUAGAUUGUGAACAUGAUUGGAUUAGAGGUAAAGGUGAUUAUAACAUGAAAUGUGCCUUUUGUAUAUAUUAUCCAAGCCAAGAAAAUAGGUGCACAUGCAGCUUAUGCUUAAGACAAGCGUGUGCAUCUUGUUUAAAGGCUAGAAAUCAAAGUUGGAGACAGGAAAUAGAAUGUGAACCAGAAGAACGAAUAUUAUCUAGUAGAGUUAGAAACUUAGAGAACAGAAUAAAUAAACUAGAAGCAGAACUAGAAGAAAUAAAAUAUAAUUUAGAAAAUAAAAAUAUUAUUAAUAAUCAAGAUCAAGAAGAUAACAUUAUCAAAAAUACAGAAUUAAAAGACCAAAUGAUCACAGUAAAAGAAAGAAAAGGGGACAGGUUAAUCCAGCUAAAAGAUGCUACUACUAGCUUUGGAAACAAAUACAUAGUACGUUUACCAUUUAAGGAAGUGUUAGGAAUAAGAAUUCCAGUCAAACUAAUAUUAAAACCAAAUAUUUCCUAUAAAAUAUUAGCACUGUUAGACACAGGGUGCACAAAGAACAUCAUUCAUGACAAGUAUUUUGCGAGAUGCCCUGAAAUAGUUAAAACUAUAGACAACGAUAAAGCUGAAGUCUCCACAGACAUGUCAGGAAUACAAAAGAUUCACAAUCAAUUGGCCACUAUUAUACAACAAUCCUUACAAACCACUAUUAUACAUGAAGGAGUUACAUUCAUCCCAUAUCAAGAUAACGUUCCAUACAUAUCUGAGAUUAUAAGACAGAGAAAAUCCAUACAAAAUGUAGAAAUAUCUAAUAUAAAUGAAGAAUAUAGUGCCAAUGAAGACUCUCUUGAAAUCUGCAAAGAAGAAGAGCUUAGUAAUGCCAUAGAAGAAUACCAUAUAGAAAAUACAUGUACAGAAUGUAUAGGUUUACAAUCAUUCUCACCAAAUUGGUAUAGAGAUAUAAAAACCAAGAAAGAUAUAGACAAAAUAGUGCAAAAAUUAGAAGACAUACAAAUCAUUGGAGAAAUACCAAUGAAACAUUGGGAUAAGAACUCUAUAGUCUGCAAGAUAAAUAUUAUCAACCCUAAUUACAUAAUCAAGUUAGGACCAAUAGAAGCUACUCCUAAGGAUGUAGAAGAGUUUAAAAUGCAUAUCGAAGAGUUAUUAAAAUUAAAAGCUAUUAGGGAAAGCAGAAGUCCUCAUCGAUCUGCCGCCUUUAUAGUUAGAAAUCAUGCUGAAGAAGUCAGCGGAAAAUCUAGAAUGGUUAUAAAUUACAAAAGACUUAAUGAUAAUACGGUAGAUGAUGCAUUCAAUAUUCCAAAUAAGCAAGAAUGGAUUAAUAGAAUACAAGGAAGCAAAUGUUUUUCUAAGUUUAACCUAAAGGCUGGGUUUUGGCAAGUAAAACUGGCCGAGGAAUCUAUUCCUUGGACAGCUUUUACAUGUCCUCAGGGUCAUUAUGAAUGGCUAGUUAUGCCUUUAGGAUUAAAAAAUGCUCCCGCUUUAUUUCAAAGAAAGAUGCAAAAUAUUUUUAAUAAAAAUCAAUCGUUUAUAUUAGUUUAUGUAGAUGAUUUACUGGUUUUCUCAAAAUCUUACAAGGAGCAUAUUGCUCACCUUGAAGUCUUUUAGGAAGGUAGAACAAAAUGGGCUAAUAUUAUCUAAAAAGAAAAUGGAGAUUUGUAAAGAGAAAAUCAAUUUUCUUGGGCACGAAAUAGGAGAAGGAAAAAUACAUCUGCAAGAGCAUAUUGCAAAGAAAAUUUUACAAUUUCCUGAUUCUAUGAAUGAUAAAAAGGUUCUACAACAAUUCCUAGGGAUUGUAAACUAUGCAAGAAAUUAUGUAGAUAAUCUAGCAAAACUAGCUGGACCUUUAUAUGCUAAAUUAAGAUAGAAUGGCCAAAGUUAUUUUAAUUCUGAAGACAUAAAGUUAGCCAAGGCCAUAAAAGAAAAGGUCAAAAAUUUGAAACCUUUAGAAUUGCCAUUACAAGAUUAUUACUUUAUAAUCGAAACAGAUGCAUGUAAAGUAGGUUGGGGUGCUAUAUUAAAGCAAAAACCUAAUAAGUACUCUCCAAAGGCAGAAGAAAAGAUAUGUAGGUAUGCCUCAGGAAGUUAUAAAUUAAAAACAGUAAAUAAUAUUGAUAGAGAAAUCCUUGCGGUAGUCCAUGCAAUAAACGCGUUUAGACUAUACUUGGGAUUUAAAGAAUUUACAGUACGCACUGAUUGUGAAGCAAUAUGUAGAUACUAUAAUCAAAUCAAUAGUAAGAAAAGUUCUACUAGAAGAUGGGUUUUAUUUGAAGAUAUCAUAACUGGAAAUGGAUAUAAAGUUGUUUUUGAGCAUAUUAAGGGAAAAGAUAAUUGUUUACCUGACAUAUUCUCCCAUUCACCAAUCUUACAGGAAUGAAGCGUGGGUAGCUUCCCAAUGGGGUGGAAGUAUUUACCUUUGGAAAUGAAAACACACUAAAAAUAUUUCCCCCGAAUAUAUUUAAAUUCAAACCUAAGGGACAUAUUGCCCUCAAUGAAAUUCAAGAAUGCAUACUUGACAAUUUAUGGUUUCAAUAUAAUAAUAAAAGAGAAGAAAAAGGCUAUAUGCUAUCAAUUCUGAAUAGUCUAGCUGAAUAUUUCAAUAUGAUGAACAAGAAGUUACCAAUAUCAGCAAAUAUUGCAGUACAAGAAUAUAAGUCAUUAUAUGUACUAUUUGAUGGAAUCAAACCUGAAAUAUAUAUGACUUUUGAAGAAAUAAUAAAAGAAAAGCUAGACGCAAGGAAAAGGAAAGAGGAUAUUACGUGGAAGAAAUAUUUAGAUGUCAAUGAAGCCUUGAAUAGAGCAAGAAGUAUGAUAGGAGAAAAUUACUACAUAGAACCAAAAGCCAAAGAAUAUAUCCAAAAGUUCAAAGGAGUAGAUAAGGAUAUUCCUUCUUCGUCAAAUAUAAAGAAUAUAAAGGAAGAAAUAUUAAUUUUAAAAAAAGCAAAGGAAGAAGAAUCUCCUAAAUAUAGCACAUACAAAGACUGCUUAGUAAAAGGAGUGGAUCCUCUGGAUUAUGAAUAUAUAGACAUGAAGAUAAACGAAACAUUAGAAGACACUUCAAAGUUAUGGAAAGAAGAGUUAAAAGAAGAAAUUUAAAAAGAAUUACGACUUGAAUUUACGCAAAAAUUCGAAGAAAUAAAGAAAGAGUAUGACCUAAAAUAUGACCUGACUCUUUCAAAAUAUGAAUUCAAUCUUUCAGAUGAUGAUCACAUGGAUAUUGCAGGCCAUGGGCAGAAAGCAGAAUUUUAAUUGAUAUUACUAUCAAUUAUUCGGGCGGGGAGGACAUAUACACCACCUCCGAACAUAUACACCUAUACCCGAAUAGUUGAUAGAAUAUAAUUUGAAUAUGAUUGAAAACUGAAAAAAAAAUACAUAAAUAAUAUUAAAAAUAAAUAAAUUUAUGAAAAAUAUUAAAUCUUAAGAUCCAUUGUUAGCAUGUAUUAGGCAUAUAAGACCCAUCAUCAGCAUCCAAGAUCACAAAUGCAUGAGAUUCUAUGAUUUAUGGUGUGCAGACGAAGAAUAGCCAAGGAAGUAGACAAUAAGGCCGCAGUGUGUCGUGAACACUAUCAUUAAAGCACAAGACUACUCUCAGGAUGAAGGAAGCCACAUUCGUAUGCAACCAAAGAGUGAAGUGGCAGCCAAAAAACCUCAUCUUCUUCAUGCAUGCAUGCACUCAAGAGGCUAUAAAGAAGGCCUAGGACCUAUAAAGAAGAGGCAUCAUGACCAAGAAGAAAGGAGAGGUAAAUAAUGCAUGGGAGCACUAUUAAAGCCAGCCAUAUCUUGCCUAUAAAAGGAGCCUUCUUGCUGCGAUGGAGGACACACAACAUCGCUGAGAACACAAGCCUUCAGUAGCAGAG
This 6017-nucleotide long non-coding RNA is filed under the name Brachypodium distachyon (stiff brome). Its description in RNAcentral is "long non-coding RNA (BDIS_LNC005710)". Lineage: Eukaryota; Viridiplantae; Streptophyta; Magnoliopsida; Poales; Poaceae. The record is from RNAcentral.